Molecule: long non-coding RNA, 2113 nt
Organism: Nerophis ophidion (straightnose pipefish)
Lineage: Eukaryota; Metazoa; Chordata; Actinopteri; Syngnathiformes; Syngnathidae
Exons: 2
Source: RefSeq, a predicted model, not a curated record
AUCGUCCUGUCCCCUUAGCAGAAAAACAGCCCCAAAGCAUGAUGUUUCCACCCCCAUGCUUCACAGUAGGUAUGGUGUUCUUGGGAUGCAACUCAGUAUUCUUCUUCCUCCUCCAAACACGACGAGUUGAGUUUAUACCAAAAUGGAUACAUGGAUGAUACAGCAAAGGAUUGGGAGAAUGUCAUGUGGUCAGAUGAAACCAAAAUAGAACUUUUUGGUAUACACUCAACUCGUCGUGUUUGGAGGAAGAAGAACACUGAGUUGCAUCCCAAGAACACCACACCUACUGUGAAGCAUGUGGGUGGAAACAUCAUGCUUUGGGGCUGUUUUUCUGCUAAGGGGACAGGACGAUUGAUCCGUGUUAAGGAAAGAAUGAAUGGGGCCAUGUAUCGUGAGAUUUUGAGCCAAAACCUCUUUCCAUCAGUGAGAGCUUUGAAUGGUUGACCACAUAUUUAUUUUCCACCAUAAUUUACAAAUAAAUUAUUUAAAAUUCCUACAAUGUGAAUUCCUGGAUUCUUUUUUCACAUUUGGUCUCUCACAGUUGAAGUGUACCUAUGAUGAAAAUUACAGACCUCUGUCAUCAUUUUAAGUGGGAGAACUUGCACAAUCGGUGGCUGACUAAAUACUUUUUUGCCCCACUGUGUGAAUGUAUAUAUAUAUAUAUAUAUAUAUAUAUAUAUAUAUAUAUAUUGUAAAACAAUUUGUUGUUGUAAAAAAAUAUGUAUGUAUGGAUAAAUUAUUUAGCUGACGCUACCAAAAAAAGACUGUCUUAUGCUUGAGUUGAUUGGUGCUGCUGUUAGUUUAGGUGCUGACUGACAUUAUCACUGCUGUGAGUUGAUUCGUCUAAUCUGUUUAGAGGGACGGCGUUCAAAAGCAGUUACUGACAAAAGUAUUCUAGCAGCUGAAACAUUUCAUGUGAAUAAUUCCUCACCACUUUGUUGCCAUUUUUUAUGUUUGCGGUGUCGUGCGUACGUAGUAGUGAUGCACUCACUCUCUCGCGUGCGUCGUGUAUCUCCCUACUCUUUGAACCCCAAGUCGCGGGUAUGAGAGUAGAGCGUUCUGACUACCGAGCUAAAAGCCCGGACUAUCAAUUCUAUAGCCAGCACUGCUCUUGAAGUUGUCAGGAGUGAAGUUUACUGAGGAACACAUGGCCCAGCCGCACUCGCGGGCCUCCGUUACACAUACGGGAACAACAUGGAGGUAAAGAAAGAGUUUAGAUUAAGAUAAUUAUUCACGCUGUCCUCCACUGGCGAGCGAGCAGACUCCCUGCUGAGAAUAACUAGGAAAGCUGAUAAAAUCCUGAACCAAACCCCCCUUCUCCCCGCCGCACCUUCCUCCGUCACCUCGCCUUUUCCGCACCAUGAAUUAUGAAUUAUGGGGUUGUGCAAUAUUAUGCCGCGUUUGCUUUGGAUAACGAUGCGAAUUAAUUCCGCGCGCAGACCAGAUGGCGUAAAAAAUGCAUGAAGGGGGACUGUCGUCAAUGUCAAACACUGAACGACGCGGCAGGUGCGUCCACGUAUAUCAUAAAUAUAAAUACAUCAUGUAAAUAUCUUUUUUCCCCCUCUUCUUCUUUCAACUUGGUAUUGAUGUCUAUCUUGGUCCUCUUUCCUGCUAUAAGGAUCAUUUGGACUGGAUCUCAGUCAUGUGUUUUGAGGCAAAUUCUUUGUAUCGUUCAAAACAAUUAAAUGAAAAUAAAUGUUUAAAAUGUGUUUCCGAGGGGCUCUUUUUAUGUUGUUUAUUUCUCAGGCCAAACUGAGCUGUUUUCAUUUGAAAAGAUGCAAGAUCAAAAAGGCCACAAAGCACUGAGAGCCGUUUUGGCUGCUUAGUGUUUAACCAACACCCGCAUCCCCCGCCCCACACCUCCCCCUGGGGCCAAAUUUGCCUUUCCAUCAUCGCACAGUCCUGAAGGUAUCUUCUCAGCCUCAUUAGGACGUGAAGCUCACACAUUGCUAACAGACUACAUCCUGGUUGGUGGAGGAGAACAAACAAACAAGCGGUGCCUCUUCUGCUGUUGCCAACAAACGGUGAACAUAACUUCUGUAUUUGCCUUGUUUUUGUAAUCAGCUCCUGUUGUACAACGGAAUACAAUUGACGAAUAAAUCUGUAAAAGGUC